CAAUAGCGUAUAUUAAAGUUGUUGCAGUUAAAAAGCUCGUAGUUGGAUUUCGGGGUGGCCUGCCUGGUCCACCGCAAGGUGAGUACUGGUCAGCUGCCCUUCCUCUCGAAAGCCCCGACUGCUCUUCGUUGCAGUGGUCGGGUAGUUCGGGACGUUUACUUUGAAAAAAUUAGAGUGUUCAAGGCAGGCUGUCGCCUGAAUACAUUAGCAUGGAAUAAUGGAAGAGGACCUCGGUCCUAUUUUGUUGGUUUCUAGGGCCGAAGUAAUGAUUAAGAGGGACAGUUGGGGGCAUUCGUAUUUAAUUGUCAGAGGUGAAAUUCUUGGAUUUAUGAAAGACGAACUAGUGCGAAAGCAUUUGCCAAGGAUGUUUUCAUUA
This 376-nucleotide ribosomal RNA is filed under the name uncultured eukaryote. Its description in RNAcentral is "partial 18S ribosomal RNA". It matches the Rfam family "Eukaryotic small subunit ribosomal RNA", at positions 592 to 975 of the family's 1831-position model. The record is from RNAcentral.